This 253-nucleotide ribosomal RNA is filed under the name uncultured bacterium. Its description in RNAcentral is "partial 16S ribosomal RNA". It matches the Rfam family "Bacterial small subunit ribosomal RNA", at positions 524 to 776 of the family's 1533-position model. The record is from RNAcentral.
UACGGGGGGUGCGAGCGUUGUCCGGAAUCACUGGGCGUAAAGGGCGCGUAGGUGGUUUGAUAAGGGUGUGGUGAAAGUCCGGGGCUCAACUCCGGAUCUGCCGUGCCGACUGUCAAACUCGAGGACUGUAGAGGCAGACGGAAUUCCGGGUGUAGCGGUGGAAUGCGUAGAGAUCCGGAGGAAGACCGGUGGCGAAGGCGGUCUGCUGGGCAGUUUCUGACACUGAGGCGCGACAGCGUGGGGAGCAAACAGG